RNAcentral lists this ribosomal RNA (436 nucleotides) under uncultured bacterium. RNAcentral's name for it is "partial 16S ribosomal RNA". It matches the Rfam family "Bacterial small subunit ribosomal RNA", at positions 29 to 507 of the family's 1533-position model. The record is from RNAcentral.
AUGAACGCUGGCGGCAUGCUUCACCCAUGCAAGUCGCACGGGAAGUGGUGUUUCCAGUGGCGAACGGGUGAGUAACGCGUAAGAACCUGCCCUUGGGAGGGGAACAACAACUGGAAACGGUUGCUAAUACCCCGUAGGCUGAGGAGCAAAAGGAGAAAUCCGCCCAAGGAGGGGCUCGCGUCUGAUUAGCUAGUUGGUGAGGUAAUAGCUUACCAAGGCGAUGAUCAGUAGCUGGUCCGAGAGGAUGAUCAGCCACACUGGGACUGAGACACGGCCCAGACUCCUACGGGAGGCAGCAGUGGGGAAUUUUCCGCAAUGGGCGAAAGCCUGACGGAGCAAUGCCGCGUGGAGGUGGAAGGCCUACGGGUCGUCAACUUCUUUUCUCGGAGAAGAAACAAUGACGGUAUCUGAGGAAUAAGCAUCGGCUAACUCUGUG